This 1301-nucleotide ribosomal RNA is filed under the name metagenome. RNAcentral's name for it is "bacterial LSU rRNA". It matches the Rfam family "Bacterial large subunit ribosomal RNA", at positions 1634 to 2925 of the family's 2925-position model. The record is from RNAcentral.
GUACACGACCGUACCGCAAACCGACACUGGUGCGCGAGAUGAGUAUUCUCAGGCGCUUGAGAGAACUCGGGAGAAGGAACUCGGCAAAUUGACACCGUAACUUCGGAAGAAGGUGUGCCUUUAGUAGGUGAAGUCCCUCGCGGAUGGAGCCCAAUGAGGUUGCAAAGAAUCGGUGGCUGCGACUGUUUAAUAAAAACACAGCACUCUGCAAACACGAAAGUGGACGUAUAGGGUGUGACGCCUGCCCGGUGCUGGAAGAUUAAGUGAUGGGGUGCAAGCUCUUGAUCGAAGUCCCAGUAAACGGCGGCCGUAACAAUAACGGUCCUAAGGUAGCGAAAUUCCUUGUCGGGUAAGUUCCGACCUGCACGAAUGGCGUAACGAUGGCCACACUGUCUCCUCCCGAGACUCAGCGAAGUUGAAAUGUUUGUGAUGAUGCAAUCUCCCCGCGGAAAGACGGAAAGACCCCAUGAACCUUUACUGUAGCUUUGUAUUGGACUUUGAACGGAUCUGUGUAGGAUAGGUGGGAGGCUUUGAAGCCGGGUCGCUAGAUCUGGUGGAGCCAACGUUGAAAUACCACCCUGGUGCGUUUGAGGUUCUAACCUAGGCCCGUUAUCCGGGCCGGGGACAGUGCAUGGUAGGCAGUUUGACUGGGGCGGUCUCCUCCCAAAGCGUAACGGAGGAGUUCGAAGGUACGCUAGUUACGGUCGGACAUCGUGACGAUGGUGCAAUGGCAUAAGCGUGCUUAACUGCGAGACUGACAAGUCGAGCAGAUGCGAAAGCAGGACAUAGUGAUCCGGUGGUUCUGUAUGGAAGGGGCAUCGCUCAACGGAUAAAAGGUACUCUGGGGAUAACAGGCUGAUACCGCCCAAGAGUUCAUAUCAACGGCGGUGUUUGGCACCUCGAUGUCGGCUCAUCUCAUCCUGGGGCUGUAGCCGGUCCCAAGGGUAUGGCUGUUCGCCAUUUAAAGAGGUACGUGAGCUGGGUUUAAAACGUCGUGAGACAGUUUGGUCCCUAUCUUCCGUGGGCGCUGCAGAUUUGAGGAAGCCUGCUCCUAGUACGAGAGGACCGGAGUGGACGCACCUCUGGUGUACCUGUUGUCACGCCAGUGGCAUUGCAGGGUAGCUAAGUGCGGAAGAGAUAACCGCUGAAAGCAUCUAAGCGGGAAACUCGUUUCAAGAUGAGAUCUGCCGGGGCCUUGAGCCCCCUGAAGAGUCGUUCUAGACCAGGACGUUGAUAGGUCAGGUGUGGAAGCGCAGUAAUGCGUUAAGCUAACUGAUACUAAUUGCUCGUGCGGCUUGACC